AGCAAAGGGGAUUGUACAUCACUAUUCAUGGAUGAGCAUUCUGGUAAAAAAGCUGGUGAUGGGGUGGUUGUUUCUAGAAAGGGAUCUGCCCUUGUUUUGAGAGAUACUGCUAAUAAUAAAGAUCGAAAUGCUCAAUUUUGCAACCGAAUUGGGUGUAGUGGGAGACUAAACUCUGCAAAAGGUACUCAAAUCAGUUAUUCGGAGAAAGCUAAAUCGUCAAGGCAAUCAUUCCGGUCUCCCUCAAAUGGCAAGGAAAUAAUUGGAAGUUCUUCUAGGACCUGCUCUGCAACCAGCAAUCCUAGGAAAUCUUUUUCAGGGCCUCGGAAAAAGCCAUCUUCUCAGCC
Molecule: unclassified non-coding RNA, 344 nt
Filed under: Hevea brasiliensis (rubber tree)
Lineage: Eukaryota; Viridiplantae; Streptophyta; Magnoliopsida; Malpighiales; Euphorbiaceae
Source: RNAcentral